AGGAGCUGAGCUGCUUGCCACCAGCAGGGAUUGAAGUCCCCAUGGCCUUUCCCCUGGAGGUUAGCAUUCUGGAGGACAAGUGGGACUUGUUUUUUUCUGCAAUUCAAUGGAUACAGUUUGUCAUGGCUACUCUGAGCGUUAUAGGUUCAAGUUCACUUAUUACCUAUGCUGUGUUCCAGAAUAUACAGAAAUCUCCAGAGAUUAAGCCACUCGUUUAUCUGAGCUUCUCUGACCUGCUCCUGGGAAUUUGCUGGCUCACUGAGGCGCUUCUUUAUGGAACUUCCACAGCCUACAAGGAUGUUGUCUGCUAUAACCUGCAAGCAGUUGGACAGAUAUUCUACAUUUCCUCGUUUUUCUACACCAUCAGUUAUAUAUGGUAUCUGUACACAGAGCUGAGGAUGAAACACAACCAGAGUGGACAGAGCACAUCUCCACUGGUGGUAGAUUAUACCUGUCAAAUUGGUCAGAUAGCCUUUGUUUUAUCAAGCCUGAUACCUCUACUGUUGAUGAUACCUGUAUUCUGUCUGGGCAAUGCUAGUGAAUGUUUCCGUAACUUCAGCCAGAGUCACAGGUGUAUCCUGAUGCACUCUCCACCAUCAGCCAUGGCUGAACUCUUGCCUUCGGCCAACAUAGCCAUCUGCAGCACACUUUAUUUUUAUGGUAUCAUCAUUUUCCUGGCCAGUUUUUUACUCAGCCUCUUCACCAUUAUGGUCUUACUCAUCCAAGCCCAGAUAUUGUAUAAGAAAUUUGUGAAAUCAACUGGCUUUCUGGGAAGUGAACAGUGGGCAGUGAUUCAUAUUGUGGAGCAGCGUGUACGCUUCUACCCAGUGGCCUUUCUAUGCUGCUGGGCCCCAGCUAUCAUUCUGAUGAUCAUAAAGCUCACCGAGCCAUGGGACACCAAACUGCAUAUUGCCCUCUAUAUUCUCCAGGGGCACCUGCACUGUCUACUGAAAUUCCUCUAGGACAGCUCAUGCCUGAACCUGCGAAAGAGCUCGGAGGCUGCUACACAGUAGAUAAUCCUCUAGGUGCUCAGAGUUGGAUGAGGGCCUAGCAGUCAUGGCCAGCACCACCCACAGUGUCCCUGGGGGCGCUCCGCAGUCCAGUCUGGAACCUUCUGUCAGCCUGGUGUGAACUGUCCCACACGCAGCCUCUUCUGCCUGUUGUAAGGGACCUACUUCUUGCUUCUCUUGCUGUUUGCUGACAGUCUCUGGUCUUUCUGUGAGAGCUCACAGAGUAAACAUCAUCCUUCUCCUGGAGAGCUUCUCACAUAUCUCACAAAGUAGCUUUUUAAGAAAUGGUUCCUACUGUAGUCGAUCAAUAUUGCUAAAUACACGUGCACUGUUGUGCAGCCGAUCUCCGACUCUUCCAUGUUGCCAGACCGAAGCUCUAUACCCAUUAACCAGCAGCUCCACCUGGUACCUUGCGAAGCCCAAAGAGAAAGUGGGGUGCCGAGCAGGCACGAUUCCCAGGAAUCAGAACAUCUCAUUUCACGACUGCCGUUCUCACUCUCCCACUGAGAAGAGAGACUGAGGCUGCCUCAGGUGUACAGGGCCAUGAGAUCUCAGUCCACCCGUGAAGAUCAUUAAACCCGCAGCUUUUUAGUACGGAGAAGUGGCCUUUCCCCACACCUGGCGUGGAAGAUACAGGAGGAGUCGGAAGUGGCAGAAGACCAGGGGCCACCUGGCAAGCAAACCACACAGCCCCUGUCCUAGGCACUGCGGUUACACCAGUGAUAAAAAGUCUCCCCAGACCCCCAGAGGGAGCUCUGUCUUGCUGACACCUUCAGUACAGCCCAGAGAUGCCGACCCGGAGAUGGACUCCAGAACCCUGAGAAAACAAACUGCUCUUGGUUUCGGGGACCAGGUUUGUGGUACCUUGCUACUGGUACCGCAGGGAACUAACACAUGUUAUCAAACUUCCGGUGGAGGUUUAGAGGGGUGGGGGAUAAUGACACCUUGGAAGACUGGAAUGGAUACAAAAGGUAUUAGGUGAGUUUUUUCCUAGCUUCUCAGAACUCCAAAUAAUACAAAAAUAAAUAAAAUAGAAAGUGA
Molecule: RNA transcript, 2051 nt
Organism: Chinchilla lanigera (long-tailed chinchilla)
Lineage: Eukaryota; Metazoa; Chordata; Mammalia; Rodentia; Chinchillidae
Gene: Tmem116
Gene name: transmembrane protein 116
Exons: 12
Source: RefSeq, a predicted model, not a curated record